CAGUAGCCGCGGUAAAACGUAGGGUGCAAGCGUUAAUCGGAAUUACGGGGCGUAAAGCGUGCGCAGGCGAUUCGCUAAGACAGAUGUGAAAUCCCCGGGCUUAACCUGGGAACUGCAUUUGUGACUGGCGGGCUAGAGUAUGGCAGAGGGGGGUAGAAUUCCACGUGUAGCAGUGAAAUGCGUAGAGAUGUGGAGGAAUACCGAUGGCGAAGGCAGCCCCCUGGGCCAAUACUGACGCUCAUGCACGAAAGCGUGGGGAGCAAAUGGGAUUAGAUACCCGGGUAGUCCCUGUCUCUUAUAC
RNAcentral lists this ribosomal RNA (301 nucleotides) under uncultured bacterium. RNAcentral's name for it is "partial 16S ribosomal RNA". It matches the Rfam family "Bacterial small subunit ribosomal RNA", at positions 509 to 807 of the family's 1533-position model. The record is from RNAcentral.